Long non-coding RNA from Alosa sapidissima (American shad), 409 nucleotides. RefSeq lists it as uncharacterized. The record is from RefSeq and is a predicted model, not a curated record. NCBI's taxonomy places the organism in Eukaryota, Metazoa, Chordata, Actinopteri, Clupeiformes, Clupeidae. The transcript has 2 exons.
UCACAGGUACGUGCAAAGUAGUCUAGCCUACUAUUUUUGUGUUUGUUUUAAAAGCAACAGCUAUCAAACAACGGCACACAGUGCAUCAAAAUCUUUGUCACGUGACACUCAAAUGAAAUUAACGCUACAGCUUGCCCUUUUGCUAAUUUGAAUAUUUGAAAAGAUGGAUUUUAGCUAUCUACAGACAGUAGCUAUCGUGUCUUCCAAGCUAGCUGCUGCUUGCACGGUAAUUAAACCAUUUGAAAAGAUGACUUUGGUAGCUGGCGUCUUCAAAGUUACCUGCAGCCUGCCCUUUGAUCAUUUGGAGUUAGUAAAGAUAAAUGACGAAUUCAGACGGAUCUCUACAUUCAUUCAUUGCACAACUGGACCAGUUGCCAUUGCUUUAAAAAUAAACAAUGCUUUCAGAAAA